RNAcentral lists this transfer-messenger RNA (324 nucleotides) under Rhodospirillales bacterium. It matches the Rfam family "Alphaproteobacteria transfer-messenger RNA". Rfam says of the family: Bacterial tmRNA, also known as 10Sa RNA or SsrA, is named for its dual tRNA and mRNA-like properties. Its role is to liberate the mRNA from a stalled ribosome. To accomplish this part of the tmRNA is used as a reading frame that ends in a translation stop signal. Lineage: Bacteria; Pseudomonadati; Pseudomonadota; Alphaproteobacteria; Rhodospirillales. The record is from RNAcentral.
GCGCUUUCCUUGACCCGGCGAUGGGACUAUAUUCGUAAACGCUGGCUUGCCGGCUAUGGCGAUAAACGCCUUGUGGAAUAAGCGUAGCGGACCCGGGGGCAGUGCCCGGCGCCUCCACCAAUUCCCGUUUUCUCCGGACCCGGUCCGGAGCCCAUAUGGGGGCGAAACAGGAUCGACGCGCGUGGUAAAGGCUUGGUUUUCGCCCGGCAUGGUACCGCCGUUAUCGGGCCGAUUUACAGAUGCCAACGAUAACGAGGCAUUUGCUGUAGCCGCCUAAGGCUGCAACGGGGUCCGGGGGGCACCUGGCAACAGAAGCCCCUCACU